GGGCUUGUAGCUCAGUCGGUGAGAGCGCACGCCUGAUAAGCGUGAGGUCGGUGGUUCGAGUCCACCCAGGCCCACCA
RNAcentral lists this transfer RNA (77 nucleotides) under Neomoorella thermoacetica. RNAcentral describes it as "Moorella thermoacetica tRNA-Ile". It matches the Rfam family "tRNA". From Rfam's summary of the family: Transfer RNA (tRNA) molecules are approximately 80 nucleotides in length. Their secondary structure includes four short double-helical elements and three loops (D, anti-codon, and T loops). Further hydrogen bonds mediate the characteristic L-shaped molecular structure. tRNAs have two regions of fundamental functional importance: the anti-codon, which is responsible for specific mRNA codon recognition, and the 3' end, to which the tRNAs corresponding amino acid is attached (by aminoacyl-tRNA synthetases). tRNAs cope with the degeneracy of the genetic code in two manners: having more than one tRNA (with a specific anti-codon) for a particular amino acid; and 'wobble' base-pairing, i.e. permitting non-standard base-pairing at the 3rd anti-codon position. RNAcentral also lists the same sequence under 2 other names. Lineage: Bacteria; Bacillati; Bacillota; Clostridia; Neomoorellales; Neomoorellaceae. The record is from RNAcentral.